CGUAAAGUCCCACGUUCGGAUUGAAGGCUGAAAUUACGCCUUCCAUGAAGCCGGAAUUGCUAGUAAUGGCAGGUCAGCAUACUGCCGUGAAUACGUUCCCGGGCCUUGUACACACCGCCCGUCACACCAUGAGAGUUGGGAAUACCCGAAGCCUGUGAGCUAACUUUUAGAGGCAGCAGUCGAAGGUAGAAUCAAUGAUUGGGGUGAAGUCGUAACAAGGUACC
RNAcentral lists this ribosomal RNA (224 nucleotides) under uncultured bacterium. RNAcentral describes it as "partial 16S ribosomal RNA". It matches the Rfam family "Bacterial small subunit ribosomal RNA", at positions 1275 to 1500 of the family's 1533-position model. The record is from RNAcentral.